This 563-nucleotide ribosomal RNA is filed under the name Halomonas sp. 51. Its description in RNAcentral is "bacterial SSU rRNA". It matches the Rfam family "Bacterial small subunit ribosomal RNA", at positions 9 to 563 of the family's 1533-position model. The record is from RNAcentral. Lineage: Bacteria; Pseudomonadati; Pseudomonadota; Gammaproteobacteria; Oceanospirillales; Halomonadaceae.
GAGUUUGAUCAUGGCUCAGAUUGAACGCUGGCGGCAGGCCUAACACAUGCAAGUCGAGCGGAAACGAUCCUAGCUUGCUAGGAGGCGUCGAGCGGCGGACGGGUGAGUAAUGCAUAGGAAUCUGCCCGGUAGUGGGGGAUAACUUGAGGAAACUCAAGCUAAUACCGCAUACGCCCUACGGGGGAAAGCAGGGGCUCUUCGGACCUUGCGCUAUCGGAUGAGCUUAUGUCGGAUUAGCUAGUUGGUGAGGUAAUGGCUCACCAAGGCGACGAUCCGUAGCUGGUCUGAGAGGAUGAUCAGCCACAUCGGGACUGAGACACGGCCCGAACUCCUACGGGAGGCAGCAGUGGGGAAUAUUGGACAAUGGGGGCAACCCUGAUCCAGCCAUGCCGCGUGUGUGAAGAAGGCCCUCGGGUUGUAAAGCACUUUCAGCGAGGAAGAAUGCUUGUCGGUUAAUACCCGGCAAGGGAGACAUCACUCGCAGAAGAAGCACCGGCUAACUCCGUGCCAGCAGACGCGGUAAUACGGAGGGUGCGAGCGUUAAUCGGAAUUACUGGGCGUAA